GCACUGCUGAGGAGCCGCAAAAUAGGACGAAACGGCCGUCCAGUGC
This 46-nucleotide non-coding RNA is filed under the name Schistosoma margrebowiei. Lineage: Eukaryota; Metazoa; Platyhelminthes; Trematoda; Strigeidida; Schistosomatidae. The record is from RNAcentral.